ACGAACGCUGGCGGCGUGCUUCACCCAUGCCAGUCGAACGGAAAGGCCCUGCUUUUGUGGGGUGCUCGAGUGGCGAACGGGUGAGUAACACGUGAGUAACCUGCCCUUGACUUUGGGAUAACUUCAGGAAACUGGGGCUAAUACCGGCUAGGAGCUCCUGCUGCAUGGUGGGGGUUGGAAAGUUUCGGCGGUUGGGGAUGGACUGGCGGCUUAUCAGCUUGUUGGUGGGGUAGUGGCUUACCAAGGCUUUGACGGGUAGCCGGCCUGAGAGGGUGACCGGCCACAUUGGGACUGAGCUGCGGCCCAGACUCCUACGGGAGGCAGCGGUGGGGAAUGUUGCACAAUGGGCGGAAGCCUGAUGCAGCAACGCCGCGUGCGGGAUGACGGCCUUCGGGUUGUGAACCGCUUUCGCCUGUGACGAAGCGUGAGUGACGGUAAUGGGUAAAGAAGCACCGGCUAACUACGUG
RNAcentral lists this ribosomal RNA (467 nucleotides) under uncultured bacterium. RNAcentral describes it as "partial 16S ribosomal RNA". It matches the Rfam family "Bacterial small subunit ribosomal RNA", at positions 29 to 507 of the family's 1533-position model. The record is from RNAcentral.